GGUUCGAUCCUGGCUCAGAUUGAACGCUGGCGGGAUACUUUACACAUGCAAGUCGAACGGCAGCACGGACUUCGGUCUGGUGGCGAGUGGCGAACAGGUGAGUAAUGUAUCGGAACGUGCCUAGUAGCGGGGGAUAACUAUGGCGUAGCUAAUACCGCAUACGCCCUUCGAGGAAAGCGGGGGGACCUUCGGGCCUCGCACUAUUAAGAGCAGCCGAUAUCGGAUUAGCUAGUUGGUGGGGUAACGGCUCACCAAAGAGGCGACGAUCCGUAGCUGGUUUGAGAGGACGACCAGCCACACUGGGACUGAGACACGGCCCAGACUCCUACGAGAGCAGCAGUGGGAAUUUUUGGACAAUGGGGAAACCCUGAUCCCAGCCAUCCCGCGUGUGCGAUGAAGAGGCCUUCGGGUUGUAAAGCACUUUUUGGCAGGAAAGAAACGGCACGGGAUAAUACCGUGCAGCUGACAAAUACCUGCAGAAUAAGCACCGGCUAACUACGUGCCAGCAGCCGCGGUAUGCGUAAGUGCAAGCGUUAAUCGGAAUUACUGGGCGUAAAAGCGUGCGGGCGGUUCGGAAAGAAAGAUGUGAAAUCCCAGAGCUUAACUUUGGAACUGCAUUUUUAACUACCGAGCCAGAGUGUGUCAGAGGGAGGUGGAAUUCCGCGUGUAGCAGUGAAAUACGUAGAUAUGCGGAGGAACACCGAUGGCGAAAGCCUCCUGGGAUAACACUGACGCUCAUGCACGAAAGCGUGG
RNAcentral lists this unclassified non-coding RNA (753 nucleotides) under uncultured Bordetella sp. RNAcentral's name for it is "partial 16S-23S ribosomal RNA intergenic spacer". It matches the Rfam family "Bacterial small subunit ribosomal RNA", at positions 10 to 764 of the family's 1533-position model. The record is from RNAcentral. Lineage: Bacteria; Pseudomonadati; Pseudomonadota; Betaproteobacteria; Burkholderiales; Alcaligenaceae.